Molecule: ribosomal RNA, 513 nt
Filed under: uncultured bacterium
Lineage: Bacteria
Description: partial 16S ribosomal RNA
Rfam family: Bacterial small subunit ribosomal RNA
Source: RNAcentral
GACGAACGCUGGCGGCAUGCCUAAUACAUGCAAGUCGAGCGAACAGAUGAAGUGCUUGCACUUCUGACGUUAGCGGCGAACGGGUGAGUAACACGUAAGGAAUCUACCUAUAAGCGGGGGAUAACAUUUGGAAACGGGUGCUAAUACCGCAUAAUAUCUUCUCCCGCAUGGAAGAAGAUUGAAAGACGGCUCUGCUGUCACUUAUAGAUGACCUUGCGGUGCAUUAGUUAGUUGGUGGGGUAACGGCCUACCAAGACGAUGAUGCAUAGCCGACAUGAGAGGGGGAUCGGCCACAUUGGGACUGAGACACGGCCCAAACUCCUACGGGAGGCAGCAGUAGGGAAUCUGCCGCAAUGGGCGAAAGCCUGACGGAGCAAUGCCGCGUGAGUGAAGAAGGCCUUCGGGUCGUAAAACUCUGUUAUAAGAGAAGAACAAAUUGUAGAGUAACUGCUACAGUCUUGACGGUAUCUUAUCAGAAAGCCACGGCUAACUACGUGCCAGCCGCCGCGGUAA